CCUACGGGGGGCAGCAGUGAGGAAUAUUGGUCAAUGGACGAGAGUCUGAACCAGCCAAGUAGCGUGAAGGAUGACUGCCCUAUGGGUUGUAAACUUCUUUUAUAUGGGAAUAAAAUGUUCCACGUGUGGGAUUUUGUAUGUACCCUAUGAAUAAGGAUCGGCUAACUCCGUGCCAGCAGCCGCUGUAAUACGGAGGAUCCGAGCGUUAUCCGGAUUUAUUGGGUUUAAAGGGAGCGUAGGUGGAUUGUUAAGUCAGUUGUGAAAGUUUGCGGCUCAACCGUAAAAUUGCAGUUGAAACUGGCAGGCUUGAGGACAGUAGAGGUGGGCGGAAUUCGUGGGGUAGCGGUGAAAUGCUUAGAUAUCACGAAGAACUCCGAUUGCGAAGGCAGCUCACUGGACUGCAACUGACACUGAGGCUCGAAAGUGUGGGUAUCAAACAGGAUUAGAUACCCGGGUAGUC
RNAcentral lists this ribosomal RNA (460 nucleotides) under uncultured bacterium. RNAcentral describes it as "partial 16S ribosomal RNA". It matches the Rfam family "Bacterial small subunit ribosomal RNA", at positions 338 to 795 of the family's 1533-position model. The record is from RNAcentral.